CAGUAGCCGCGGGAAUACGUAGGUGGCAAGCGUUAUCCGGAAUUAUUGGGCGUAAAGCGCGCGUAGGCGGUUUUUUAAGUCUGAUGUGAAAGCCCACGGCUCAACCGUGGAGGGUCAUUGGAAACUGGAAAACUUGAGUGCAGAAGAGGAAAGUGGAAUUCCAUGUGUAGCGGUGAAAUGCGCAGAGAUAUGGAGGAACACCAGUGGCGAAGGCGACUUUCUGGUCUGUAACUGACGCUGAUGUGCGAAAGCGUGGGGAUCAAACAGGAUUAGAUACCCCCGUAGUCCCUGUCUCUUAUAA
This 301-nucleotide ribosomal RNA is filed under the name uncultured bacterium. RNAcentral describes it as "partial 16S ribosomal RNA". It matches the Rfam family "Bacterial small subunit ribosomal RNA", at positions 509 to 809 of the family's 1533-position model. The record is from RNAcentral.